Molecule: unclassified non-coding RNA, 146 nt
Filed under: soil metagenome
Description: partial internal transcribed spacer 1
Source: RNAcentral
UAAUAAGUGUUUUAUGGCACUUUUUAAAUCCAUAUCCACCUUGUGUGCAAUGUCAGUCGAUCUUCUUCUAUGAGGAUCGACCAAACAUCAACCUUUAUCUUUUAACUCUUUGUCUGAAAAAUAUUAUGAAUAAACAAUUCAAAAUA